AUAGUGCAUUACUAUAGAGGCCGGGAAACGAAGGGUUACAGGCCAAGUAGAUGGAUACGCGGCCGGCAACCACGUUUCUCGCCGAAAUUUGUAUAGUGCUUUUCUCAAACUUGCAAUGAAAUA
Molecule: long non-coding RNA, 123 nt
Organism: Cydia strobilella
Lineage: Eukaryota; Metazoa; Arthropoda; Insecta; Lepidoptera; Tortricidae
Exons: 2
Source: RefSeq, a predicted model, not a curated record